This is a long non-coding RNA of Varanus komodoensis (Komodo dragon), 3885 nucleotides long. RefSeq lists it as uncharacterized. The record is from RefSeq and is a predicted model, not a curated record. The transcript is spliced from 2 exons. NCBI's taxonomy places the organism in Eukaryota, Metazoa, Chordata, Lepidosauria, Squamata, Varanidae.
GCCUCGGGCACGGAGUGGGAGGGUCGUGGGAAUGCGGCGGGGGCAGACACGGGCCACGCGUUGUUCGUGGAGUUUGGGCGGCUGGAACGGCUCUCUCACUGGCUUCCAUCUUGAAAGACAAAGGUUUUGGCCAAUCAGCAGGGGAGAGCCGCUUUGAAAACAAGGAGUAGUAAAGGAGGAGGAAGUGUUCUGUGUAUCAUUUUCUUAAGUUGUUUUCAGAAAGAGGUGAACCUUUGCUUGGUUAUCACCGUUCUUUUCAAUCCUGAAGUUUAUUGACUUUUGGCAUGCUGAUCCUAUGCCUGUUUGUUUGGAAGUCAUUCCCAAGUAAUGCCUAGAGGAAACGUGCCUUGGAUUGCAGCCAUGUAACCCAGUUCUAUGUAUGAUUACUUGGAAUUAUGUCUUAAGUAAUGUCCAGAGGUUUGUAUCCUUGCUAUGAAUUUCUAAUUUUGCUUACCCAGAAGGAAGUCUUGAUGAACUGAACGGGUUUUAAUCCCAAGUAAUGUGCAUUAGCUUGUAGCCAUGUGGCCCUGUUGCUUUCCCACAGAAAUACAAAUAUGUAUCUGUGGAGAUUAACUCUGGUAGUCCCAAAGGGCAGUCCUUUCAAGUUGAGUGUAGGUUUGCCAGAUGGUUCUCUUCAGCAAGGUUUAUCCCUUUUCCCCAAUGGAGAGUGCUGCUUUGCCAAUUUUAAAACAGCUUGGCUUUUGGUUGUUCUGGCUGGCUUGUUUUGUUUUGUUUUACACUGCACUCAAAUCAGUGGUCAAUUUAAAAGGCUUAUUAAUAGAAGCCAAAGCUUGCUUGCUUGUUUGAACUAUUAAUGGUCAGUUAAUUCAGAGCAAUUUGACAACGAAACUUGAUUUUAAGGGCUUUAAAUGGCAGUACCCAGACUUGAUGUUUUUAUCCACCAUAUAAUUGUAAAAGUGAAACAAACAUGUAAAUCUUAUUUUAAGCCUGUUGCAUAGGAAUAAGAUUGCUAGUAAUAUACAUAGUGGCAGCACAUCACUUUGGUAAUCCUAACUACUAUGCUGGAUGAAUUGCUGUAGUACAAUUUGCAGAAAUGGAUGGUGAAGAAAAUCAGAGUCCGAACAGAAUCCUGUCCUUGCUGAGAUACCAGCCAGAAUCCUAGCAACAAAAAAGAUACUCUCACAAAAAUGCACAGUAAGCAAAAACAGGAGCCAUAGCCCAUGAAGAGAAUUGCUUUGAUUGGACAGUUAACACUGCUGAGUGGAAGUAAUCCAAACCUGCACAGAAUAGAAAGAACCAUGUAUGGCUGUAUGUAUUUCUUGUACCUAAAAUGAAAUGGAAAAGAUCCCAGACAUAUUCCUUUAUAUUACUGCCGGAACUUGCUUCCUCACACAAUCAUUGUUCAGUAAAUGCUAUGACUAUUUCAAUUCUGGUUUUGUGUGAUUAAUAAAUAACUGUGGUUAACCUAACCUAAUUAAUAAAAAACUGGUUUUUCUCUGUAUUAACUCCCUGAAUUACAAUCAAAUGAUCUGUUUGAAUAUUUUAGUGUUCACAGUUCUCAAAAAACUGGGGUGUUGUUAGGAACCCAUUUGUCCUAACUACUACUGUGCCCUACACAAGAUUUGGGGUGGAAGGGAUGGAAAAUAACAAGAAGACACUAGCAGUCAAACAUGAGAAGUGAAUAGGUUUGAGCAAAAUGAAAAGAUCCUAAACAACAUAUAUCACUCAGUUUUCUAUAUGAGGUUAUUGGUUCAUGUACAAGUAACUGAUUUCUCACGGCUUCAUCUCAGGUGCCUGUGUGUGUUUUCUAGACCUUCUAAGGUACUAUAAUUAAAGAACAAAUGUGGGUGUUUUGUGGAAUGAACUUUUUUUGAUCCUCAUACUGCCCUUUCAAUCAUGGUUUAUAUAUUGCUUGAUGUGAUAUGUAGCAGUCCAGAUUGAUCCUGAACAGAUGCCCCCAACUAACCACCAUGUUUGCAGAUUGUCAGUUGAAAGUGAUUGUUUUAUUGCUGUUCCAAUGGCUGCACUUUUACCAUUGAAACAUUUUUGAGAUAGAGGCAAAGGCUUACAAUUGGAGUGGGUAGGGCUCUAUUCCUUUAUUUGUGAGGGCAAAAGAAAAAGACAGGGUGGGUUGAUUUAAAUUAAGUUUCCUUUCAAACUUUUCCAUAAUUUCCCAAAUAAUAGUGCAAAUCUGACCACUAAGUUAUAAUGUUUAUAGAUCAAUUUAUAGCUAAGUAGUAUUUACACUGCUUUGUCCCUACAAGCAUGCUUUGCUUCUCCACUGGCCAGGUUCACACACAAUGCUAACUUGUGCUACAGGGCUGCUGCAGCCAGCUAAACUAACAAACUGUGGUUUAUUUGUAACUCUAACCCAAAUUGUUUUUAUGCUUUCUAAAGACCAACCAUGGUAGGAAAAAAAAGUGCCAUGGCUUGCUGUGUUGUCUGAGCCAAGCCUAUUAGUUGUUUAAAUCAUAGGUUGUCAUGUGUGAAUCCCAAACCAUUAGUUCAUUGAUUGUUUCAGUAGGCCUACAUCAUAAAGAAACAGCCACUCCAGUAGUACAGUGCAGUAAAGUCAUUUUGGAAUGUAGGGAGGGAACCAACAAAGGAGAAGGGAAUGAACCCAGGGACUGAAACAGUAAUAAUAACCUACUAUUUGUUUCAUCACAGGGAACAAAGCAUGGGUUAAACUGUGGUUUACUUACAAACUAGGCCACAGUUACAUAUUUUCCUUGUUUUACCUACAGAAGGUAUAUCCUGAGGAAUGUAUAGCUUCUUACGAUAAUCGCACAUGAUAAUAGGUUAAUAGUGCCAUCCUCAGAAAUAAGUUUAAAUAAGUUCUAUAUGUUCUAAUCCCAGGCAACUGCUUAUUGGAUUGCUACUUAAGUGUAGGACUUAAGGAAGAUACUCAAUGGGCAACUUUGUCUUUCUCUUUCCAGUUUUGUUACUUUUUGCUUCAUUCUGUAUUGGCUAAGCCACACCCUCACAAAAGCAAAGUGGAAAACAAAAAUGAAAUGCCUAUGUUUGAUAGGUUCAAGUAAGAUUUGACAGUUACUGAGAAUACUAGAACGAUGCAUUUUCAUCAAGUGGAAAGUAAAUAUCUGUGUUUGGUAGACUGAGCCCAGUGGAAAUAACCAUAUUGCAAGAUUGAUUCUUAAUUUCCAGGAAACUACUUUUAACUCAACACUUCUGGAAAAGGCCUUAAUUCAUUCUGGAGAUUAAUUGUACAGCUAACAUGCUUAUAUCUAGAAUAUUUAAUGUUCACCUAGUUCUUAAUUAAAGUUGAUUUUUAUCUUCCCUGCUGUAUAGCCUUUCUGUCUUAACAAGCUACUUACUAUGUAUUGCUUGGUCUUGCUCCAUCACCACAUAUGUACAUGGAACAACAGUUGUCCUACCUAGUCUAUUAUUUUUGCAGAUGUGAAUAUUCAGACAGAAAGUGAAAGCCUGGCAGUUUCAGGACUAAGAUCUUCUGGGCCAAAUGAAGCUAUUUUCAUGAGAUGUUAUUAAUUCAAGUUAAAAACUCUCUUAAUAAGAAUUACUUUAUGAAGUAUCUGCAUUUUUGCUUGAAUGAAUUCUUUCUGGGUAGCCUGUUUAUCUUUUACUACAGUUUAGAUGUGGAUAUGAAAUAUGAAUGCAUAUCACAAGGCCUGAAUGUAUUUCAAGCUGCUCAGACAUUUGUCUUCAUAACAGUCAAUAUUCAGCAUGCAGUUUUGCUCUUGCCUGGUUCUGCUUACUCAUCACAUCUUAGCUUUGCAGUGUAUUAAACACAGAAAAAAGUCUCUGUUGGAAUGAUGUCAGCCCACUUGAGAAGACCACUGUCAAUCUUGCUACUAAUCAAAAGGGCCACAGCUUAUUUCAAUUUAACUAUCUUUUGCUGUUUGCGCCUUAUAGUUUCUUUCUCUGCAGCGCUACAGAGUUCACCCUCUG